UCGAACGAGAAAGUGGAGCAAUCCAUGAGUAAAGUGGCGACCGGGUGAGUAACACGUGACUAACCUACCUUCGAGUGGGGGAUAACCUAGGGAAACCUGGGCUAAUACCGCAUAACAUCUUUGGAUCGGAAGAACUGAAGUUCAAAGGAGCAAUUCGCUUGAAGAGGGGGUCGCGGCUGAUUAGCUAGUUGGCGGGGUAAUGGCCCACCAAGGCUUUGAUCGGUAGCCGGCCUGAGAGGGCGCACGGCCACACUGGAACUGAAACACGGUCCAGACUCCUACGGGAGGCAGCAGUGGGGAAUUUUGCGCAAUGGGGGAAACCCUGACGCAGCAACGCCGCGUGGAGGAUGAAGUCCCUUGGGACGUAAACUCCUUUCGACCGGGACGAUUAUGACGGUACCGGUGGAAGAAGCCCCGGCUAACUUCGUGCCAGCAGCCGCGGUAAUACGAGGGGGGCAAGCGUUGUUCGGAAUUAUUGGGCGUAAAGGGCGCGUAGGCGGUGCGGUAAGUCACCUGUGAAAUCUCCGGGCUUAACUCGGAGUCUGCAGGCGAAACUGCCGUGCUGGAGUAUGGGAGAGGUGCGUGGAAUUCCCGGUGUAGCGGUGAAAUGCGUAGAUAUCGAGAGGAACACCUGUGGCGAAAGCGGCGCACUGGACCAUAACUGACGCUGAAGCGCGAAAGCUAGGGGAGCAAACAGGAUUAGAUACCCUGGUAGUCCUAGCCCUAAACG
Molecule: ribosomal RNA, 730 nt
Filed under: uncultured bacterium
Lineage: Bacteria
Description: bacterial SSU rRNA
Rfam family: Bacterial small subunit ribosomal RNA
Source: RNAcentral